Molecule: ribosomal RNA, 782 nt
Filed under: uncultured bacterium
Lineage: Bacteria
Description: bacterial SSU rRNA
Rfam family: Bacterial small subunit ribosomal RNA
Source: RNAcentral
CUCAUAUUGAAACCUAGUGAUGUAUGAGUUAGUGGCGGACGGGUGAGUAACGCGUGGAGAACCUGCCGUAUACUGGGGGAUAACACUUAGAAAUAGGUGCUAAUACCGCAUAAGCGCACAGCUUCGCAUGAAGCAGUGUGAAAAACUCCGGUGGUAUACGAUGGAUCCGCGUCUGAUUAGCUUGUUGGCGGGGUAAAGGCCCACCAAGGCGACGAUCAGUAGCCGGCCUGAGAGGGUGAACGGCCACAUUGGGACUGAGACACGGCCCAAACUCCUACGGGAGGCAGCAGUGGGGAAUAUUGCACAAUGGGGGAAACCCUGAUGCAGCGACGCCGCGUGAGUGAAGAAGUAUUUCGGUACGUAAAGCUCUAUCAGCAGGGAAGAAAAUGACGGUACCUGACUAAGAAGCCCCGGCUAACUACGUGCCAGCAGCCGCGGUAAUACGUAGGGGGCAAGCGUUAUCCGGAUUUACUGGGUGUAAAGGGAGCGUAGACGGCAGCGCAAGUCUGGAGUGAAAUCCCAUGGCUUAACCAUGGAACUGCUUUGGAAACUGUGCAGCUGGAGUGCAGGAGAGGUAAGCGGAAUUCCUAGUGUAGCGGUGAAAUGCGUAGAUAUUAGGAGGAACACCAGUGGCGAAGGCGGCUUACUGGACUGUAACUGACGUUGAGGCUCGAAAGCGUGGGGAGCAAACAGGAUUAGAUACCCUGGUAGUCCACGCUGUAAACGAUGAUUACUAGGUGUUGGGGGACCAAGGUCCUUCGGUGCCGUCGCAAACGCAUUAA